Non-coding RNA from Cinara cedri, 1999 nucleotides. The record is from the annotation of a GenBank genome assembly. NCBI's taxonomy places the organism in Eukaryota, Metazoa, Arthropoda, Insecta, Hemiptera, Aphididae.
CAUAAUUUUUAGAAUAUCUAAUAGUUUAUGCUCAAAUGGAUAGAUAUUAUAUGUAUUAUGUAUAAUCAAUGAUAUAAUGCAGACAAUUUGAACACUUACAAUUAAUACAAUUUUUGAACAAUUACUUUUUAUGAUUCUAAUAAUAAUAAUUGAUCUAUAUGAUAAUAUUUAUAAAUUCCUAUAUUCUCAUAUAUUACAUACUAUAUACAUACACUAUUUAGAUGCCUUUAAUAGACACAUAAUAAUUUUUUGAACACAAUUUUGUAACUGUCAGUUGUCUUAAAAAAAAUAAUAUUUUUACAUGACUAGCAAACAAUAUUAUAUGAAAAAAAUUUUAAAAGUAUAUAAAGUAUAAAGUAAUUACUAAUUACAAUUAUUAAACUACAAAUUGAAAUAUUUGAAUAAUAAUAAAACUAUGCUUAAUACAGCAGAAUUUGUUUAUACUUAUACAUUAUAUUCUCUUAAAUAAUAAUAAAAAGCUUCACUAACUAUCUGAUAAAUAAAAAAAAAAAAACAUUUUUUCAAGACAGUGCUACUAGUAGGUAGUAUUUAAAUUAUACAAAAUAUAUUUUUUUUAAAUUAAUAUAAACAAAUUUAAGGUUUAAAAAAAAUUAAAAAUAUUUUGUACUUUUAAUUUUGUAUAAAAUAAAUAAAUAAAAGUUAUUUUAAUCAACAAUGAAACAAAAAUAUUAAAUAAAGACAUAAAUAGGUAUAAUAUAAGGUAUGGUUUUAGAAAAUAAAUUUAAAAAAAAACUAAGUCAAUAAAUUAUACAUUUUUUUGUAUAAAAUUAAAAAGUUUUACUGAAUCAUAGUACUUACAGCACUUAUAAGAGGGUUUAGGUGUAUAUUUCACCCCUAUUUAUGUUAAUUUAAUGAGAAGAGCUGUCUCAUUAAACUAACAUAAUGGCUUAAUUAGAUAUUAUUAUGUUUAUAAUUUCAACCUGAAAGUAAAUUGAUGGGUAGCAUUUAGUAAUAAAAUUAUAUUUGUAUGUAAACUUCUAAACUCCAGACCAGCGCUGUAAUACAUCUAGAUACUUUUUUUGUAUCUUGUACCUGUAUCUAGAUACUUUCUAAAAAAAAUGCACCUGUAUCUAUAUCUUUGAUACAAAAUAUUGUGUACCUUUAUAUAAGUAUCUAAGAUACUUUUUAAGACAAUUCUUACUUUUCUGAUUCAAAAAAAUACAAAAAUAAAACUUAAAAUUCUAAAAUCUAAUUUUUUUGAAAUAAAAAUAUCAACAAUUUAUUGUUGAUAUGUAUUACUCUCUGAUUUCUUUAUCAUUAUAAAUUAUUAUGUAUGAGUGUGUGACUACUGUGUAUUGAUAAGUGGAUAAUACCCAUUAUUUAUUUUAUAUUUCCCAAUAAUUAACCAAUAUUUGAAUAUUGUUAUAUAUAUAUAUGUAUUAUAACUUAUAACUUUAUAAGAAUUAAAUUAUAUUUGAAAACUAAGAUAAAAAUGUAAAUAAAAAUUAUUUUAUUAUAAAUUAGACACCCAUUACAUGUUUUGUUAUAAUUUUAUAAUUCUAUAUUUUUAAUGAAUUAAAUAGGUAUUUAUAAAAAAAAUUAACUGUUUUCUUAAAUGGAUUCUAAGAUACUCUUAAGAUACUUAUAACUGUAUCUAGAAACUUUCAAAUGAAAUGUAUCUGUAUCUAGAUACUAAUUUAAAGUAUCUUAUUACAACACUACUCCAGACCCAGUUAUUUCUACUAUUAAAACACAAUUAUCAUUUAAAAAAAUUAAUAAUAAUAAUUUGAGUAUUGGACUUUAAUAAAAUAUUAUAAUACCUAUUUAUGUAAAUCAAUAUGUUUAAGUCUCAAAAAUAAUCAUAGUUUUCUGAUUUAUUAUUAAGAUUUGAACAUAGUAGAAACAAAUUAAUUUAAGUCAACUUAACUUCAAGCCAACUUGAACUUGAGUAAUAUAAACAAAUAAUAAACAUUACAAAUUACCAUAAUAAUGGUAUUUUAUGUUUAUAUUACAUAUUAUAAGUUAUUAAUUAUGUAAU